Molecule: non-coding RNA, 26 nt
Filed under: Rattus norvegicus (Norway rat)
Lineage: Eukaryota; Metazoa; Chordata; Mammalia; Rodentia; Muridae
Source: RNAcentral
UCUGAAAGGCAGGUUCCAGUCACACC